GACGAACGCUGGCGGCGUGCCUAAUACAUGCAAGUAGAACGCACAGUUUAUACCGUAGCUUGCUACACCAUAGACUGUGAGUUGCGAACGGGUGAGUAACGCGUAGGUAACCUGCCUGGUAGCGGGGGAUAACUAUUGGAAACGAUAGCUAAUACCGCAUAAUAUUAAUUAUUGCAUGAUAAUUAAUUGAAAGGUGCAAUUGCACCACUACCAGAUGGACCUGCGUUGUAUUAGCUAGUAGGUGAGGUAACGGCUCACCUAGGCGACGAUACAUAGCCGCCCGGAGAGGGUGAUCGGCCACACGGGAACUGGGACCCGGCCCAGACUCUUCGGGGAGCAAGCGUAGGGGAAUCUUGGACAUUGGCCGAAGGCCGGACCGAGCAACGCCGCGGGGGUGAGGAAGUUUUCGGAUCGUAAAGCUCUGUUGUAAGAGAAGAACGGGUGUGAGAGUGGAAAGUUCACACUGUGACGGUAUCUUACCAGAAAGGGACGGCUAACUACGUG
RNAcentral lists this ribosomal RNA (504 nucleotides) under uncultured bacterium. RNAcentral's name for it is "partial 16S ribosomal RNA". It matches the Rfam family "Bacterial small subunit ribosomal RNA", at positions 28 to 507 of the family's 1533-position model. The record is from RNAcentral.